RNAcentral lists this long non-coding RNA (102 nucleotides) under Ictidomys tridecemlineatus (thirteen-lined ground squirrel). RNAcentral describes it as "lncRNA (ENSSTOG00000032523.1)". The record is from RNAcentral. Lineage: Eukaryota; Metazoa; Chordata; Mammalia; Rodentia; Sciuridae.
AAUGUGAAGAAAGUUUAAUUCCAGACUCUGAAGCUUGUCUCAUAAGAAGAGGGUGCUGUCAGAGUUCUGGUCUCAGAUUCCGUGGAUGCCCUGAGAGUCUGA